UACGGGGGGGGCAAGCGUUGUUCGGAAUUACUGGGCGUAAAGGGCUCGUAGGCGGCCAACUAAGUCAGACGUGAAAUCCCUCGGCUUAACCGGGGAACUGCGUCUGAUACUGGAUGGCUUGAGUUUGGGAGAGGGAUGCGGAAUUCCUGGUGUAGCGGUGAAAUGCGUAGAUAUCAGGAGGAACACCUGUGGCGAAAGCGGCUCACUGGACCACAACUGACGCUGAGGCGCGAAAGCUAGGGGAGCAAACAGG
Molecule: ribosomal RNA, 253 nt
Filed under: uncultured bacterium
Lineage: Bacteria
Description: partial 16S ribosomal RNA
Rfam family: Bacterial small subunit ribosomal RNA
Source: RNAcentral